RNAcentral lists this long non-coding RNA (1785 nucleotides) under Marmota monax (woodchuck). Lineage: Eukaryota; Metazoa; Chordata; Mammalia; Rodentia; Sciuridae. The record is from RNAcentral.
UUUCAAUACCUUCAUUUCUGUAGCUAAAGAUAACUGUAAUUUGCUCUUUUAGUGAAGAUACAACAUUUAGAUAUUCUGUCCCUUUGUUAUUUUAUUAUUGCCAUACCAAUAAAAGUAAUAGUACUUAGUGACAAUGCAGUAGUAAAUACAGAUAAAAACAUCAGUACUAAUAUUUUGUGGUCAGGCUUAGUUAUAAGGUGGUCAUCUGGAUGAUCCCAGGAAACGUUUAUGUUAAUUUUUUUAGAUACACAGCAAAACAAAAACAAUUAUAUUGUUAAUAGAGUUCUUUUGUACCAUCUGGAGUAUAUCUUUUCCCCAGCGAUCUGUUGACCUUGGUUUAAAAAAUGUUGGGAUAAACAAUUGGUGAAUGUAUUUUUUACUCUUGAAUAAAAAUGCUGAAAUCUGGUUUGAAGUGAAGUAAACUGAAAAUGAUUAGUUUUUUUCCUCUCUUAACUGAAACCCCUUAGUUGAUAGUUUGCUUCCAAUAUGACUAGCUUCAGGUGUUUAAAUGUUAUUAGGACUUAAAUGUCUCCAUAUCUUACCUCUUCGCUUUCUCUACCCCCAAAUCUUACAGCUUUACUAUUCUCUUUGUUGGCUUCUUAAGUACUCUUUCUGUGCAGAGUGACUCCAAUACUCCUAGUCUUAACUGCUACUAUCUUAUUAUUUUAAAUACCCUUAUUUAAAUAUAAUUUAUAUGACAUACAAUUUGCCCAUUUAAAGUGUACAACUCAGUGGUUUUCAUACAAAGUUCUAUAAGCAUCACCACAAUCAACUUUAGAACAUUUUCAUCACUCCAGAAAGAAACCCUGUACCAAUUAGACCUUGGUAGCCACUACUCUACUCUGUCUCUGUGGAUUUAACAUUUCUGGACAUUUCAUUAUAAAUGAAAUCAUAUAAUAUCUGGUUUGUUUGACUGGCUUUGUUCAGCUAGUCUAAUGUUCUCAACAUUCAUACAUAUUGUACAUGUGUCAAUGUGUCAUUCCUUUUUAUUCCUAAAUAUUAUUGCAUUGUGUAGAUGUAUCACAUUUUAUCUAUUUGUCAAUCUAAGAGUGGUAUUGUUUGGUCUUAUAUCUAUGUGUUUAACUGUCUGUUUCCCAUAGUAGCUGUACCAGUUCACAUUUCUGCCAGCAGUGUAUGAGAGUUCCAAUUUUAUUACAUUCUUUUCAAUGCUUGUCAUUAUCUAUCUUUUGAUUACAGCCAUCCCAGUGAGUAUGAGGUGAUACCUCUUAAUUUUUAAAAUUUUUGAAUUAUGUUAAUCCAUAAUUUUAAAAAAUUAAAAAUAUGGUUACAUUUUACAUGUAUAAAAACCAAAGCAGCCUGUAAUCCAAGUGACUCAGGAGGCUGAGGCAGGAGGAUCACAAGCUCAAAGCCAGCCUCAGCACAGUAGUGAGGCCCUGUCUCUAAAUAAAACAUAAAACGGGCUGGGGAUGUAGCUCAGUAGUAAAGAGCCCCUGGGUUCAAUCUCCAGUACAAAAAAAAAAAAAAAACUGAAGCAAAAACCAAAAACUAAAUAUUAUAAUUAUACAUAAUACCCCCCAAAAUGAAUGGGUUGUGUUCAAGAGGUAUGUCAUUACUUGGAAUUCAUUUUCUCUCCAUAAGAAAAAUAUAUUAAACAUGGGUAUAUUUAUUUACCUGAAUCAGUAGCUGAAAUGGAAAGUUCUUUCCUCCUUUUUGAGAACUCUUAGUUGCAAAUGUAGAGACCCUCUGGAGUUGCUAUUAUUGGAGCUCUAAGAUCCCCCACUGCAUAUUUUUUGCUGAAAAUUCCAUUUCUCUAACAGCUGACUU